UUGAAGUGUAGCUCAGUGGCAGAGCAUUUGCCUGGCAUGCACAAGGCUCUGGAUUCAAUCCCCAGAACCAAA
Molecule: transfer RNA, 72 nt
Filed under: Marmota monax (woodchuck)
Lineage: Eukaryota; Metazoa; Chordata; Mammalia; Rodentia; Sciuridae
Description: tRNA.Ala
Rfam family: tRNA
About the family: Transfer RNA (tRNA) molecules are approximately 80 nucleotides in length. Their secondary structure includes four short double-helical elements and three loops (D, anti-codon, and T loops).
Source: RNAcentral